RNAcentral lists this long non-coding RNA (3193 nucleotides) under Pan troglodytes (chimpanzee). RNAcentral's name for it is "lincRNA". Lineage: Eukaryota; Metazoa; Chordata; Mammalia; Primates; Hominidae. The record is from RNAcentral.
AUCUCAUAAAUUCAAUUUCUCCAUCUAGUGGCCUUCCCCUCACCCAGGCCCUCCCCACCUCCCUCCUGGACCACAACAGCAGCUCUAAAAGGCUUCCCAGCUCUGGCUAUUUCACAGUCCAGAGGCACCCACAUGCUGAUCCCCGCAAGGCCUCUUCAGGAUGGGGACUCUAGCCACUCAAAUUCUUCCAUUGCUCCCCAGUAACUUAAGUUUAAAUCAUUUAGUCACGUGCCAUUCAAGGCCCUCUGGGUUCUGGCCUCCAAGGACCUUUGCUACCUGAUCUUCUCCUUAGUGGUUUACACACAUCAUUGCCCAGCAACUACAAAUCGAUUCCUGCCCACUCUGCACCCCGGCAUUUCCCAUCCCUACCUAUGCCUUUGCUCAUGUUUCCUUCAAUGAGGAUACUCCAAGACCUCAAGUCCAACAUUACCUUUCUUUCAAUGUCUGGCUCAAAGGCUCUUUAUCCAUGAAACAUUUCUUGAUCAUCCCAGCCACAGAUAAACACACAACCUUUCUUUUCUAUGAACUUGUGGUAUGUUUAUCUCUCUACCUUUUAUACAUUUCUCUUUCUCUCUGCAUUUAUUCUUUGUUUUUCUUUUUUCUAAGACAUCUUGUUAUAGCAUCUCUGCAUUUAUUCUAAUUUUAUCUGUGCACAGAACCUUAGCUUCAAGCUCCUUGAAGGGUAGCAUCGUGUCCCAGCCUACACUGUCACACUCAGGAGAAGCACCCAGUAGAUGGUGGCUCUGUAUCUACCUACAAAGUGCCACUGAGGAGCACAGGCCUUCAGGUCUGUAGCCCAUCAGCUGAGCCUUCGCAUCAGCUCCUAGAACAGUGCCUGGCAUAGAGCAACACCCAGAAAUCAUUGUUAAAUGAAAUUAUCCACAAGGGAGUCACCUAGUGUCUACAUGAUAGAAAUUCUUUCCCUGUAGAAUAUAACAUGAAAGGGGGUGUGAAGAAGCCUUCUCUCUCCCCAUGUUUCCAGAUGCAAGAAAGCUUCACGUUAACUGUCUCCCACAAGCUAUAUAGCUACUCUCGGCAAUAUGACAUAUAAUACUUUGGUGCAUUUGGUGUGUCAAAAAUAUUCAAUUUUAACAUGUCAGAAAGAAUCAUUUUUCAAAAACAGUCUCCUUUGGAGAAGAGAGUUAUUCAAACAAUAUCCAAAACCUUUUUGGAUCUCACAUUUUGAAGAGGUCCAACUUCCGUUGGUUAAAAAAAAAGUCUAUUAUAUAAUGAAAGCCUUACAACUGACUGAGAGUUAUAGAAUUUCAGAAAUAAAUCCCAGUCUGUUCAUCCUUAAAAUAAGAAGCUAUUUUUCAGGGCUUUCAUGUCCAAAAUUAUAUUAUGUAAGCCACUUCAUAAAUCAUGUACACAACAAUUCUCAUUUUUCCAUUAAAUCUCUAUUUUGAAAUUUAAUUCACUCAUCCAUUUUUUCAGAGAUGGGAUCUUGUUCUGUCGCUCAGGCUAGAGUGCAGUGGUGUGAUCAUAGCUCACUAUAGCCUUCAACUCCAGGGCUCAAGGGAUCCUCCUGCCUCAGCCUCCCAAGUAGCUAGGACUAUAGAUGCAUGCCACCAUGUGUGGCUUAUUUUUUUAUUUUAUUUUAUUUUUUUGUAGAGAUGGGGAUCUAUGUUGCCCAGGCUGGUCUUGAACUCCUGGCCUCAAGUGAUCCUCCCACCUCAGCCUCCUAAAGUGCUGGGAUCACAGGUAUGAGCCACCGUGUGCCCUGUCUUUUUAUUUUGACCCCCUCUUGGCUCUAACAGCACACGUGUACCUCUGUUACAGGACAUCAGUCUACAGUGCUACCUCUUUUUAUAGUCAUUUAUCUCACUAACCUGUGUCUUUCUGAAGUGCCAGACCCAUGUUCACUUUUGAAUCUACAGUACCUUCUACUGAAAUGUAGUAGCUGGCUCAGUCCAUGUUUAUAACAUGAAACAAUGACUUGAAUCAGUGGUUUGAUCACCUGCCAUAUUCAUGAGACCUAACUAUUGGCUCCCUCCUACCCUCAAAGGACAGAGAUUUCCCGCCGCUGUGGAUAGUCAAAAGAAGAUAGAAAGUUCUUAAGUGCUUCAUUUAAUGUGUUUAUUUAGUCCCCUUGAAAUAAAUACUGAUGGGUAAAACCAAAUUAAUUUAAAUCACAUGCUAAAAAGGAUAGCCAGUCAAGUACCUAGCUGAGUAUCUAAAAUUAGUACACACACACACCAAAAACAAAAACAAAAGCAUGGAAAAAGCCAAAAAGCCCUGCCUGUUCAGCCCUGUGUACCCUUCACUGACUAGGAAGUGACCCACUUUUCAGGUAUCAUCCAAUCAUACAAACUGGGCAUCAGUGUCGUCAGAAGCCCACACAUGUUCAUCUCAAGACUCAACAACAUAAACACGUCUAUGUUUCCAAGAAAGCUCAUUGCAAGUUGGUGACAAAUUUGAAAAAAAAAAAAAAGCUCUAAAUAAAAUUACAGACAUGACUUUCACAUUUGAGCUCUCCAAAUAUAUUGUUAUGGGUUUAAGAAAUACCACACUUCUGUGUCACAAAGAGAGUUCUAAAAACCAGUAUGUUCUGAGAAGUCCAUACCUGCUACUUGGGAACUAAACAAGGCUUGUAACAACUGAAUCUCUUUAGAAGACUGUUAACACCUUGCUUAAGUGUGUAAAAAUUGAAAAUAAACAUAACUGAAGAUUUGAGAAUUUUUCAGUUAUAACACAGUUCUUAUGAAAGAUGGAAAAUAUUUCAUAUUCUCUUAUAUAUUUAUAAAAACAGCAGAUAUUUCUUCUAUUUACAGAGGUGGAAAUGAAGGCAAGCAAAUGCAGUCAUUUUGUUGGAGGACUAUUCUACAUUUCCAAAGCAAUGAAGACAUGACCCCAAACUAAAUUCUCCUGCAACGUAUUCUUACAAGAAAAAGGCUAAAAGCCUUAUUGCUUAACAAAAGCUAAACAAUGUGAAUUAUUUCAAUAACUGGUCCAAAAAGCUGCAGCAGGCCACUGAGUAACUUGGACAUCUGUUGCCAUGCUUGUUCAUGCUUUCCCCUGAGAUGACAUAUAUGUAUCAUCAUUAAUAGGUGUCCUUGAUUUUGAUAAGAAUAAUAUUCCUGUACAUCCCCACAUCUCCUGUACAUAGCCAUGUGCUGCCAUCUUCUGAUUAUGCCCAGUGGAGUGUAAACAUUUUUUCAUGAAAAAGCAAAAUCAAUAAAAGUAAAACUCCCCA